UACGAAGGGGGCUAGCGUUGCUCGGAAUUACUGGGCGUAAAGGGCGCGUAGGCGGACAGUUUAGUCAGAGGUGAAAGCCCAGGGCUCAACCUUGGAAUUGCCUUUGAUACUGACUGUCUUGAGUACGGGAGAGGUGUGUGGAACUCCGAGUGUAGAGGUGAAAUUCGUAGAUAUUCGGAAGAACACCAGUGGCGAAGGCGGCUCACUGGCCCGGUACUGACGCUGAGGUGCGAAAGCGUGGGGAGCAAACAGG
Molecule: ribosomal RNA, 253 nt
Filed under: uncultured bacterium
Lineage: Bacteria
Description: partial 16S ribosomal RNA
Rfam family: Bacterial small subunit ribosomal RNA
Source: RNAcentral